Alligator mississippiensis (American alligator) is the source of this 8226-nucleotide long non-coding RNA. RefSeq lists it as uncharacterized. The transcript has 2 exons. NCBI's taxonomy places the organism in Eukaryota, Metazoa, Chordata, Crocodylia, Alligatoridae. The record is from RefSeq and is a predicted model, not a curated record.
UCUUGCAGGGGGGGAAUUCAGUCGGGGGCCACAUUGCUGCCAAAGUGCAGCCCUAACCCUGCCUCCCCUCUCCCCCCCCCAAGCUUUCCUCUGCCCAAGUGUGUCCCCAGAGCCCCGUGUCACCCUGACCCGCCCGGAUCCCCUACCCCCGUCCACUUUUGACUGCUCCCUUCCUGGAGAGAAUGGUGGAUUGCAAUUAAAGCUAUCGUCGCAAUUCAAGCCUCUUUGAAUUAUCACUUUUUUUCUUGAAAGGAUCUAAGGUCUCUGAAGAAACAAUUGGCCAUUGCUUUGAAGAAAAUAAGCAACACCAUUCAGAGCUACUGUAGCGUAAUGUAUGAACUUGGGCAGUCGAAAAAUCUUUUAUGAAAAAUGGUUACAGAUCUUGAAACUCCACCAUAUGUGCCAACAAAAGCUAUUGUGUUAGCAAGAAGGGGUUUAGGGGGGUUUUUUGUUUGUUUUUUUACCUAGACAAAGUUUGCUAGCUUCAAGCUUUGGGAACGCCUUUGUAUAGGCUGGCAGUGAUCCUAGAGCUGAUUCAUUUGAAAGGCAUAUGAAGGAUCUAGGAGAAAGUGGGGAUUCCCUUUUUUAUUAUUAUUAUUUUUUUAAUUUCUUGCAGCACCUGAAAAAGUUUCCCUCGCUCAAGGAAUGCAGCCUUGGCUGAGCGACGCCAAGAAGAGAACACGACACCUGUGAUUUAAUGCACUAAAGAUGUUGCUCUGCAUAGAUACGGGCCAGUUUAAGGAGAAGAGCAACAUCCCCAGAACUUUGAGCAGACCAUUUCUGUAAGGUUUUUGUUUGUGCUCAUUAAGGUGAAGAGUAGUGAUAAAGCAGGACUGAUAGUCCUAUUUUCUCUGUUACUAGUGACUAGAGUUUGCACCAUCCAGGUCAGAUGUAACGGGGAAACUAAGAAAAUCUGACACGAUCAUUGAUUUGCUCUCUUUGUACUCAUGUCAUCUGUACACACUAGAGAGAAAGAAAUGUGACUUAAAAAUUGCAAUUAACCAGCUUUACAGCAGGUUCCUUUCAUUGGGUAUUUAUUCCCAUCAAAUCUCAUUUCAUCCUUAAAGGAAAGUUCAUUCCGAGUUUUGAUUUAAACCAGAUAAUGCAAAAUAUUUUGUAUUCCUCCAUAAAAAGUGUUGCUUUAAAUUAUGAAUGUUAUAUUCCUAACUAUCCUCUUAUAGUUUCCCACAGAUUUUGGUCAGGUCUUGAAAGAAUGGCAAUUUUUCUAAUGUUUUAAAAGUAUUAACUUCCUUUCAAACAUUCUUUAACCUUUAAUGUUUUGUAACUUGAUGAAAAGGUCACUUUGUUCGGAGUGGAUGCAUCUGCUCCAUAAUUGUUCAGAUAUCAGGCAGAGUUCCAUCCGAACUCCAGAUUCUUUUAUGGGGAUUUUUUUAUAUACUAUUGUUAAGGUUACCAUGAGGAAUUAUUUUAAAGGCAGAAACCUGUAGACCAAAGGAUGCUCACACUUUAUUUAAUUUCACCAGCCUCAGAUGUUUGGGGCUAUAUGCAGGAAAUGACAGUUGCCAAGCUUUGAAAAGAAUAAACCAACCAGUUUCACCUCCCUCCAUUUUAAGAACUCUGAGGCAGAGGAGCAUUAAUACAUUAAACAGCUGAAUCUUUAGUCCUAUGUACAUGAGUAAUAUAAAAAUACUAAAGUAAUUACACUUUGCACUUGUCUUGCUUAAAAAAAAAAUCUCAAAACACUUUGCAAAGGGGGAGAUGGGGAGUUGGAGGCAAAGACAGAUUGAAUGACUUAACUAUGAGCACAGAGAGUCAAGAGAAGACCCUCACUGGAAAUGACUAGAAAAUGCUGUCUCUUAAGAAUCAGGCCCUGACUUUCCUAUCAUCAUAUUGCUUUAAAAAAUUGUAAUUAUAUUUUAAAUUACUUUCUGUGAAGGUACCAAGAGGUUUUCAGGCACAGGCACCUGUAAAUUAACAUUUAUUACUACUACUACUAAUAUUUUGAAUCUGUCUCUUUAGCCAGUUUUGAAAUAAAGGGCUUAUGCUCAUUCCCAUGCAAGAAGAUUAGCAUCAAUUGGAGUUACAUGUGUAAAUUCCUACGCAUGGAAAUGAGAAUGCACCUCUAAGGUGCAGAUUCUGACCUAAGAUAGGUGGGUGCAUAUUACCAUGCAUCUUAUAUGAGGCACAGUGGUUGCUUUUGCAAGAAAAGUGGUGAUACCUGUCUGCAUAUCUGUGAUCAGAAUGAGAGCCCUAAAUUGAUACAAUUAAUCCCUCUAAAAUAGGAGAGAUUUUCUUAGUUUUAUACAAUUCAAACAUCCAGAGAAUAAGUUUAAUUAAAAUUUGGCUAUACAUUUUUUAAAGAUAAAAAAAAAUAAAGAAAUGAGCUAAUUAUAUUGCUUAGUAUUCUGCUAUUUUUUUUUUAAUAACAUGCUUUUGUAGCCAGGCCAGUCCCUUGAGAACCAGUUCCUCAUUUAUAAGGAGGUCUCCAGUGGGAGUUAAAAAGAGGCUCUGUUAUAAGGAGAAUAUAUUUUGAAAGAGGAGCCAUGUAAAGAUAACCCUGCAUUGCAUAUAUCAGUAUGGAGGCUCAAAUAUUCCAGUGAGGUAAAUCUUCCUCAGCAAUAAUUUGCUAGUUUGUUUUUAUCACUGUUACUAAUGUCUAUGCAGUUGUUCUUGUAUUUUCAUCACUAUAAUGUUUUUUAACUAAGUUAUUUUUAAAAUUUGCUUUAUUUAAUGAACUUAAAGGUCAGUCUCCUUCCUUUUUGUAUGCAACUCCCAUUAAUAGUAGAGCUUAGAUUUUAAUGGGAGUUAAUGGGCUAAGUGUUCCCCUCCCACAGAAAAACCCCAGGAGAAGAAAACAGAAGUUAGGCAAGAUUAUUUCACCAAAUUGUUGCAGCAUUCUCCCCUCUGGGCACUUAGAUACUAAAGGUGAUGAGUUCCUGGAUAUGAUAGAGUGGGAGGAAAAAGAGAGAAAUUUGGAGGGUGAGGGGGGAGAGGACUUACAAAAGAAACAUAAGAAACAGUCUUUACUAUUUGCAGUUUUGAAAACUGGUUCUGUAGGAAAAUCAGCUAUCCCUGUGGAGUUCCUAACUCUCCACACAGCCCCACAAUCCUCUUUCCUGGCUUCCCAAGACCUCAGCUACAAUAGGCACGUUUGCCUUUCAGGGAAAAUGGAAGGGAAGAUAGUGCCAGAACAUCACUAAUUUUCAUAGCUAGUUCUACUCCCUAGCUUGUGGGGGAACAUGUUGCAUAGAGCGGCUAAUUCCCACCUUUCCUGUACAGGCCUCAUAUUGUAUUUUCUAGCUGCUUGGUGUUGACACAGAGGGGCUUCCACAGAUUCCUGGGAUGGAGGGGAGUAUACAGUUCCUCUGGGAAAAUAUUGUCUGUACUAAAGGCAUCAACCUGCAUGUUGAUCAUUUUGGAACUGAUUUUGCCAGUCCAGUGGGCCUAACUUUUCCACUCAAUGGCCGUGUCCAGACACCACACAUGCAGCUCAGGGCAUGCCUGCUACCUUGCAGCAUGGGGUGGGUUUUUGACCCAGGGAGAUCCAGGGGGUCAAAAAAAGCCCAUGCCAAAAAAAAAAAAAAAAGUGGGUGCCACACAUGGUGGCAGAGCAUGCUGCCCUGGCCAGCCAUAGCCAUGCUCCCAUUGCCGGCCAGGCUCCCAGCUGCGAGAGUGCCAUGGCUGCAGCUCCCUGAGGACCCCAGGUAAGGCUGUUGGGACCAACACAGUUGCUGGCCUCAGCCUCCCCUACCCCACCUGGGGUAACCUGCUGGGUGCCAGAGUGCACAUGGCAUGGUUGUUCCCUGGGGACAACCAGCAGCAGCACGAGGUGAGACUCUGCUACUUGUCCCCAGGGAAACAAAUGUCCACGCUCAUGAGGACACAGCUAGUAGGUUAGCGCUACUACACCAGAGGCAGGGCUCCUAACGCAACACCCUCUCCAUCUCAAAUAGGUUGUGAAGUGUGGAGAAAAGCACAAGCCCAAGUGCUUUCCUGCCCCCAACUAGGGACUUGGGACUAGCACUUUCUUCUGGGGAACAAAGGAAUCCUGCAUCUUCUGGGUUGCACAACCACCACAGCUACUCCGCUCUUCUCCCAGCAUACUUCUUUGUCCCAGUUGUCAUUUAUAAAGAAACAAACAACAGUAACACUUGAAGCAUGUCCUUCUCUACCCUCCUGACCUUUGGUUUAUAUUACAGAUUUCCCCUGUGGUAUGUGUAAAUUUUAUGCUAAUAUUAAGGAUUCACAUUUUCAGAAAACCUGAACUUCCCUAACUUAAUAACAACACUGUUACAGCAAGGUUUGUUUGUUUUUUAUCUAAUUUACUUUCCCUACUGUUUAUGCUAAAGGGGAAUGUUGAUUUUGUUUUUUAAUUGUUUUAAUUCUAUUUAUCUGGAAGUUUGAAAAAACAGUCAUAGUGGUCUUAUGUUUUGUAGAAGCUUGUUCAGAUAACUUAAAUCCAGAGCCAAAAUUGGUACCUUUUAAGCCCUGGAGCCAAAAUAAAUCUGGUGUUAUCUCCAGUAACUGGUGGAGUUGGACCCACUUAUACCAACAAUGAAUUUGAAGUCAAUGGAGUUACACCCUGGAUAAAUUCAGCCCUCUGGGUUCCAGUAAUACAUCAUUCAACAUAGAAUAAUGCCUGCUGGAAGCAGAAGCUGAUUGACUUUGGCAAUCAAUAAGUAUUGUAACUUAAUUUAACUCACCAGAAACAUACCUAUCCAGAUGUUUUUGUUAUAAAGUGAACACUGAUGUGGCUGAAUACAAAAAUGGAUGUGGUUAAAAUCAUGACCAGGACUAGAUUAAAGCAAUUUGGGGCUAUAGAUGAAUUAUAGGACACAGGGAACCUAUGCCCUUACUGUCCAUUUAGACUUCUGUGAGAUUUCCUACCUUAGAAGCAUAGCCCCUGCUAAGUCCCACCUUGGAGCUUCCCGUUCCCUACAGAAAGGAAGGAAUUAAAGCAAGGAUCCCUAGCCUACUAGUAAGCGGAAAACAUUUUCUUGUAUGGGUGAGACAAGCCCAUUUGUACUCUUUUCCUUGUGCUAUACAGGCUCCUCUACCGUGAUGGUGUCACCAGGACCUCUAGAACAGAUUGUCUCAGAGCUAACACCCAUUUUGACAUACAAGGCACGUCUACAUGAGAUGCUUACUGUGCGGUAGCCUAAUAACACUGUGCAGUAGGGGUGUGCAAAAUAGGCCUGAUUCAAUUUGGAUUUCGAUUCAACCUGAAUCAGGAACAGCGAUUCAAUUAGUUGAUUCGGAUCACUGUCCCUGAUUUGAUUCGACUGAAUCCAAAUCUGAAGAUCUGAUGCUGGUUCGGAGAAUGGACACAGCUUUAAAUUCUUUUUCUACAUACCUUGAGGUACCAGGUGUGGCUCGUGAAUGCUUCAGUGUUGGGGCAGAUGGAGCUUCCCACAGGAGCGUGGACCCUCUUCCCCCCCCCACAUGCUCAGCGGUGAACCUGGAAGUGGACCGGGGUCCAGAAGCACUUCCAGUCCACUUCCAGGUCCACUGGGAAGUGCACCGGGGGACUCCUUGCACCCCUCCCAGCUCAGCGAUCAGCUGCGGGGGUACCCCAGGUGCCCCCCCAGACCAGAAGGCAUCAGUUGCUGAGCCUGGGGGGGUGGGGUGCAUUCCCUGGAGGACCCAGACGUGAAUCAGAAGUGCUUCUGGUCCACUUCCGGGUCUGCUGCUGAGCGCACUAGGGAUCUCCCUGCACUCCUGUGGGACGCUUCAUGUGCUCCACCAUCGCAGCACUCAUGAGCUGUCUGGUACCUUGAAGUAUGUAGAAAAAACAUUUAAAGCUGUGUCUAUGGCCGAACUGUCAAAUCUUUCCAAAUCUCUCUGAAUCGAUUCGGAAGGUUCUGAUUUGAUUCAGAGAGAUUAAAGGGUCUCCUGAUUCAAUUCAGAUUCAGAGAUUCAGCCACCAAAUCAGGCCAAAUCUCCACCAAAUCGAAUCAGCGACUGAAGCUUCACACAGUCCUACUGUGUACCAGUCUAAAACCAUGCUAAUAACCUACUGUACAGUGUUAUUAGGCUACUGCGCAGUAAGCAUCACAAAAAACCAUGUGCCGGUGCUACUGCGCAGUAAAUGUAGUUACUGUGCAUUCAGUUAGUAUUUUAUUAAAGAAGUACUAAACUAAAUGUGCAGUAACUACUGUGCAUUAAUGAACACGUAGAUGCACUCACUGAGUACUUCACAUCUCUCUGAGGCAUUUUUUCAGGCUCUUUCCAGAUUCAAGCAGACAUCAGUUACAUUGAGGUCACUUUUUCUUUUCUUUUUUUUUUUUUUCUUCCAUGUCGAGAGCAGAUAAGAAAUUUUGUUUUGGUGAAGGAAAUCCAGGUAAAGAAAGCUAAGAUUCAUCAUAUCUCCCAGUUACAGUUUAUGUACAGAACUAUCAUGCCUAUGACUUAACCAGUCCUGACUAUAACAAAUAAUAAUGGGUCUGAUCUUGCUUUCAUUGCACUUUCAACUCUGCCAUCAACUUCAGGAUACAUCUGAGUGCAUGGGGAAUGAAGGAUCAGAUCUAGAGUCUGAAGUUAUGCAUCCUAAAAUAGAGGGUAAUCACACCUUAUAUGUCAGGGUUUAAACUGACUGUCACAGUGCCUGGAAGAGAUUCUACUUCCUGGCAUAAUUGUCCAAGUGCUCUGAAGGCUUAAAGAGCUUCCAUUUUAAUGAAGCAUUAAGUAUAAGUUACUGCCAAACACAAGGUCCUGGACUGGGAAGAACAAUGCUGUAAUUCUGUAUAGCAAAUAUUCCUAAAUUCAAAUACACUGUAUUAUUUCUAUAUACUGCAUUAAUUAAUACACUCUGUUUUAUACACAUAACUGCUUUGUUUUAUUUUAUUUUUUCUGACACAUAAGGGAAGAGAUAACAGAAAGAUGUACUGGUUUUUUAUUUUAAACAGAGUAUAUUCUAUAUAUUAUCCUCUCAAGCAAUUGAAUAAAUAUCACAGGCUUUAUAGAUCUAGUAGCCUUUCCAGUGAACAACGCAGCAGUCAUGCUUCACAGAAAAGGGAUAACAUCCUAGAGUGCAGCUGAUAAGAGCAACAAUUUACAAAGCAAGAGAUCUGUUAUGCAGUGAAAGCUUUAUUACCAUGACUUGAUGUUACAUCUACAACACAUAAGGGUUAAUCAUUGCAGCAGUUUGCAGCUGGUUUGUGCUCUCAGGGGAGUCAUAGCAAUAGACUUCUGUGUGUAAGACAAGGUCAGCUUUCCUAUCCCUGGGUCAGCGGGUCAUGUGAUAACAGAACUCUGAAACUUAGACUCCUAAGAGACACAGGUGCCAAACCCAUUUUGUGGUCUGUUGUAGAGCUCUUCCUGUGGUUUUUAUUCUACUACAUAAAAACACAUACAUAGCUCUGUGGUAUAUAAUUGGAUGGAGAGUUUUCAGAGCUACCCAUCAGUGUAAGUUUUCUGUGGCAGCAGUGGGUUCAUAAGAUUGCUGGGUACAUGUAACAUUUCACGGGAGACUUGUUCUUAGUGGACUGAGACAACACAGCAAUAGGUGCUGAGAAUAAUGGCCAAAGCUCAUGUGAAUUGUUCAAAGGGUCUCAACGGUUUCAAGGAGACUGCUCUGUCCAGCAGGACUGGACCCUAAUAUUUUAUUAAUAUUUAUCUCCUAUUGCUGCAACAGAAAAAAAAAAUCAAAUAAGCAAAACUUUAAUCCUCAAAUGCAACUGUAAUCUUCAGAUUGGUUAGGCUUAUCAAAGAGCUAAUAUUUAUUUUCAAAGACAGGCUGCUAGGAAUGAUCAGCCAAAAUGGAAACCUAUAAGUGAAGGGUUGUAAGUUUAUUGGACAGUAUUGUCUAUAUUUAUAGUUUCUGCUUAACCCAUAUUUCUGUUUUUAUAUGCAUGUGUCAAAAAUUAAUAUAUGGCAAACUUCACCAACAGUUUUAAGAGAUCUUAAAAUAUAAUAAAAUCAAUAAAUGAUGUUCUGGCAUAAAUGUUUCUGUAGCUGAGGGUGGUCAGGUUCAAAGGGCAAGUUCUGACCAUUUCUCUUUCCCGCCCUGCUGUUGGAGUAAGACCCUCCCCUCAACUUCAAAUCACUAGGGAGAGGGUAAUUUAAGCUAUACUUGAUGUAACCUAUACAUCACUGUCUCCUGCACCAGCUUUAAAAUUAAACUCUGAUGUACAAAGUUAAACAAAAAUGAGAUAAAAAUUGGCAGGGGUUGAAGAGGGUCAAAGUAGUCAAAACACAAGGUAGACUAUUGCUUCUUUUGAUUUAUGUUAUUCUGUACACUAAAAAAAAAUAAAAUUAUAACUCUCA